AAAUAAGCAUUUUGUUUACAUAAAAUCCCUUGUCAUUUCACCACUAGGUUUGAAACCCAGACAGCACGAAGCAUCUUGCCGACGUCAAAAUCAGAUCAACAGACAGGGACAUCAGCCUUCUCUUGGGAAUAGGCCAGAUAUGCCAUAACAAGAAAUGGUGUUUUGCCCCUGCGGUUGUGAAGAGGAUGCUGUGGAGGUGGCAGCAUGAACGUGUCACACAGACAUUGGCUAAACUACUCGGCUUCUACACUUGCCCUCAGAGUUCACAUAUGGUGACGUGCACAGGUGUCCAGUCAGGUUCAGACUGAUGCUGGUAACAAGAGGAGAACAUGCUAAUUGAUGCUGUGUUGCUGCCAGUCCACGGAUGUACACGAAUGGCUCACCUGGAGGAGGAGGGCGGUCAACGACAUUACUCAAGUAUUGACAACAAAUGUGCUCUACGAAAUAUGAUGGAUCACAGACCCGACUCAGAACUGAACUCAUUUCAGCUGGCGGCUAACUGGUCUCAUAGGAGUCCAUGUUAACUGCUAGCUCGGAGAUGACAUUUCCAGCAUGUCCAACUCAUCAGCAUCAGGGGAGAUUCGGUGGAGGUGGUGCACCAUCCAGGACCAGUCAUGGGCCACCAAAACCUCUGCAAAAUCUACACUUCUUGUGAACCCUGUAGAAGACACUACAACCACAAAACUGCUAAUAAACCAUCACAUACUGCGUCACA
Molecule: long non-coding RNA, 715 nt
Organism: Engraulis encrasicolus (European anchovy)
Lineage: Eukaryota; Metazoa; Chordata; Actinopteri; Clupeiformes; Engraulidae
Exons: 6
Source: RefSeq, a predicted model, not a curated record